GGGAAAUUAUGCCCCUCCCACAACUACAGGCCCAGCCUGUCAUAUAUCCAUUUUUAUAGCGGUAAUUGUUAAGACCUGCAGUGGUUAUGGUGCUGCGGUCUUGAUUCUCUAUCCCCACAGCUGAGUAGGAGUGAUUAUAUCUGCAGCAGACAGUAAAGGACUGAGAGAGAUGAACUGCAGUUCCAAGGUGUUUCUUCCCAGCAAGUAGAAUAUCCCCCCAAACAUGAGCCUAGACUUCAUGAAGGGUGAAACAGGAAUAAGCUUUAUUGAAACCACACAGGCUUUUAUGAGAAAUCCUCCUGCAAGAGGACCUCCCACAGCAAACAAAGCAACAGCCAAUCAUCACACAAAUUUACAGUGUUACACGCCUCCUCUCUGCCUGGGAGAUAUUGAGAUAAGUUAAGGAAUAAACCAAUUAUCUCCAGGCAGAGAGCAC
Non-coding RNA from Pelobates cultripes (western spadefoot toad), 436 nucleotides. NCBI's taxonomy places the organism in Eukaryota, Metazoa, Chordata, Amphibia, Anura, Pelobatidae. The record is from the annotation of a GenBank genome assembly.